Molecule: ribosomal RNA, 245 nt
Filed under: uncultured bacterium
Lineage: Bacteria
Description: partial 16S ribosomal RNA
Rfam family: Bacterial small subunit ribosomal RNA
Source: RNAcentral
GACGGAGGAGGCAAGCGUUGUCCGGAUUGACUGGGCGUAAAGCGCGUGUAGGCGGGAUCUUAAGUCGGUGGUGAAAUCCCCGGGCUCAACCCGGGAACUGCCACCGAAACUGAGGUUCUUGAGGGCAGGAGAGGGAAGUGGAAUUGCUGGUGUAGCGGUGAAAUGCGUAGAGAUCAGCAAGAACACCCGUGGCGAAGGCGGCUUCCUGGACUGCUCCUGACGCUGAGACGCGAAAGCCAGGGGAG